Molecule: ribosomal RNA, 253 nt
Filed under: uncultured bacterium
Lineage: Bacteria
Description: partial 16S ribosomal RNA
Rfam family: Bacterial small subunit ribosomal RNA
Source: RNAcentral
UACAGAGGGUGCAAGCGUUGUUCGGAAUUAUUGGGCGUAAAGCGCGUGUAGGCGGCUUUGCAAGUCGGGUGUGAAAGCCCUCAGCUUAACUGAGGAAGUGCGCCCGAAACUGCAGAGCUUGAGUACCAGAGAGGAUGGCGGAAUUCCCCAAGUAGAGGUGAAAUUCGUAGAUAUGGGGAGGAACACCGGUGGCGAAGGCGGCCAUCUGGAUGGAUACUGACGCUGAGACGCGAAAGCGUGGGUAGCAAACAGG